CCUACGGGAGGCAGCAGUGAGGAAUAUUGGUCAAUGGGCGGAAGCCUGAACCAGCCAAGUAGCGUGCGGGAUGAAGGCCCUACGGGUCGUAAACCGCUUUUGCACGGGGAUAACACCCUCCACUUGUGGAGGUCUGCAGGUACCGUGCGAAUAAGGGCCGGCUAAUUCCGUGCCAGCAGCCGCGGUAAUACGGAGGGCCCGAGCGUUAUCCGGAUUCAUUGGGCUUAAAGGGAGCGUAGGCGGGCGAUCAAGUCAGCGGUAAAAUCGCGCGGCUCAACCCCGCACCGCAUUUGAAACUGGACGCCUUGAGAUUACAACAGGCAGGCGGAAUGUAUGGUGUAGCGGUGAAAUGCAUAGAUAUCACACGGAACCCCGAUUGCGAAGGCAGCCUGCCGGGGUGCGACUGACGCUGAGGCUCGAAGGUGUGGGUAUCAAACAGGAUUAGAUACCCCUGUAGUC
RNAcentral lists this ribosomal RNA (459 nucleotides) under uncultured bacterium. RNAcentral describes it as "partial 16S ribosomal RNA". It matches the Rfam family "Bacterial small subunit ribosomal RNA", at positions 338 to 795 of the family's 1533-position model. The record is from RNAcentral.